RNAcentral lists this ribosomal RNA (254 nucleotides) under uncultured bacterium. RNAcentral's name for it is "partial 16S ribosomal RNA". It matches the Rfam family "Bacterial small subunit ribosomal RNA", at positions 524 to 776 of the family's 1533-position model. The record is from RNAcentral.
CACGUAGGGGGCGAGCGUUGUCCGGAUUUAUUGGGCGUAAAGAGCUCGUAGGCGGCUCAGUAAGUCGGGUGUGAAAACUCCAGGCUCAACCUGGAGACGCCACCUGAUACUGCUGUGGCUAGAGUCCGGUAGGGGAGCAUGGAAUUCCUGGUGUAGCGGUGAAAUGCGCAGAUAUCAGGAGGAACACCGGUGGCGAAGGCGGUUCUCUGGGCAUUACCUGACGCUGAGGAGCGAAAGUGUGGGGAGCGAACAGG